Molecule: signal recognition particle RNA, 98 nt
Filed under: Deltaproteobacteria bacterium
Lineage: Bacteria; Pseudomonadati; Myxococcota; Myxococcia
Also listed under: 1 other name
Description: signal recognition particle sRNA small type
Rfam family: Bacterial small signal recognition particle RNA
About the family: The signal recognition particle (SRP) is a universally conserved ribonucleoprotein involved in the co-translational targeting of proteins to membranes. Archaeal SRP consists of a 7S RNA and homologues of the eukaryotic SRP19 and SRP54 proteins. In most bacteria, the SRP consists of a 4.5S RNA and the Ffh protein (a homologue of the eukaryotic SRP54 protein).
Source: RNAcentral
AGUUAGGUCCUGUGCAAGGCGGCACCGCGAACCCCGUCAGGUCCGGAAGGAAGCAGCGGUAACGGCACACCCCUGUGCCACAGGGAAACCUGGCUGUC